Molecule: long non-coding RNA, 570 nt
Filed under: Gallus gallus (chicken)
Lineage: Eukaryota; Metazoa; Chordata; Aves; Galliformes; Phasianidae
Description: lncRNA (ENSGALG00010007764.1)
Source: RNAcentral
UUAUCGGUCAUGGAGCCAUGGAAUGGUUGGGUUGGGUUGGAAGGGACCUCAUAGGUCAGAGGGACGUAAAAUGGUUGGGUUGAGUGGGAAGGGAUCUUAUAGGUCGACCUUACGGAUUGCAGAGCCAUGGGUUGGGUUGGAAGGGACCUCAUAGAUCACAGAGCUGUAGAGUGGUUGGGUUGGAAGGGACUGUGUGGGUCGCUGAACAGUAGUGUGGUUGGGUUGGGUGGGAUUGGAAGGGUCCUUAUGGAUCCCAGAGCCACCAAAUGGUUGGGUUGGAAAGGGUCUUAAUUGAUCACGGAGGCAUAGAAUGGUUGGGUUGGGUUGGAAGGGGCCUCACAGAUCAUAGAGUCAUAGAGUGGUUGGGUUGGAAAAGACUUUGUAGAUCACAGAGCAUAGAAUGGUUGGGUUGGGUUGGAAGGGGCCUCACAGAUCAUAGAGUCAUAGAGUGGUUGGGUUGGAAAAGACUUUGUAGAUCACAGAGCUGUAGAGUGGUUGGGUUGGAAGGGAUCUUAUCGGUCAUGGAGCCAUGGAAUGGUUGGGUUGGGUUGGAAGGGACCUCAUAGAUCA